Molecule: ribosomal RNA, 439 nt
Filed under: uncultured bacterium
Lineage: Bacteria
Description: bacterial SSU rRNA
Rfam family: Bacterial small subunit ribosomal RNA
Source: RNAcentral
AACGCGAAGAACCUUACCUGGGUUUGACAUCCCUCGAAUCCUCCCGAAAAGGAGGAGUGCCCUUCGGGGAACGGGGUGACAGGUGCUGCAUGGCUGUCGUCAGCUCGUGCCGUGAGGUGUUGGGUUAAGUCCCGCAACGAGCGCAACCCUUGNUCCUUAGUUGCCAGCGAGUAAUGUCGGGCACUCUAGGGAGACCGCCUCGGNUCAACGGGGAGGAAGGUGGGGACGACGUCAAGUCAUCAUGGCCCUUACGCCCAGGGCUACACACGUACUACAAUGGCGGGUACAAUGGGCUGCGAGACCGCAAGGUGGAGCCAAUCCCAAAAAACCCGUCCCAGUCCGGAUCGGGGUCUGCAACUCGACCCCGUGAAGUCGGAAUCGCUAGUAAUCGGAGAUCAGCAUGCUCCGGUGAAUACGUUCCCGGGUCUUGUACACACCG